Molecule: long non-coding RNA, 539 nt
Organism: Psammomys obesus (fat sand rat)
Lineage: Eukaryota; Metazoa; Chordata; Mammalia; Rodentia; Muridae
Exons: 2
Source: RefSeq, a predicted model, not a curated record
GCCGGCGCCCCGCCCCUCACUCUCUGUCGGGUCCCUGAGGUACCCUCGGCUCCCCGGAGAUUUCUGGUAGGGCCGACUGUCUCCUGAAUUGCUGACGCCGCUGCCGCCGUCCAAGUGGGGCUGGACCUUGCCAACGUUCCAGAUAGUCACGGGGUGGGGAGGGAGUGAAGUUCCCAGCUUAUGGGCAUGACACUGCAGAAUCUUUGGUCCUCUGUCCUCCUCUCACAAAUGGAGAAAAUUGGAGCCACCACAGUGGUAUGGGGAACUGAACAGGACUCUUCAUGCACACCAGGCAAGUGCUCUACUGCUGAGCUGCUGUCCCCAAGCCUCCUGCUGGAACCUGCUGGCAGCCUCAACCUGGCUACUACUAAUACAGGAAACAGACUGCUUUCUCUCAGAUCACAGACUGUUAUCAAAACUUCCCGAGGAUCAGGUCAGAGGAGGAAUCUGCCACCCUCUUAAUUACCCUGCCUUCCACGAAGGGCAGGGAAUCACCACUUGCAGAGGGCAGCCAGCUGCCAAUAAAGCUGUUAGGCUCA